Molecule: ribosomal RNA, 253 nt
Filed under: uncultured bacterium
Lineage: Bacteria
Description: partial 16S ribosomal RNA
Rfam family: Bacterial small subunit ribosomal RNA
Source: RNAcentral
CACGGGGGGAGCAAGCGUUGUUCGGAAUCACUGGGCGUAAAGGGCGCGUAGGCGGACAGUUUAGUCAGAGGUGAAAGCCCAGGGCUCAACCUUGGAACUGCCUUUGAUACUGACUGUCUUGAGUUCGGGAGAGGUGAGUGGAAUGCCGAGUGUAGAGGUGAAAUUCGUAGAUAUUCGGCGGAACACCAGUGGCGAAGGCGACUCACUGGCCCGAUACUGACGCUGAGGCGCGAAAGCGUGGGGAGCAAACAGG